This 910-nucleotide ribosomal RNA is filed under the name Nodulosphaeria sp. 1 ST-2016. RNAcentral describes it as "eukaryotic LSU rRNA". It matches the Rfam family "Eukaryotic large subunit ribosomal RNA", at positions 22 to 948 of the family's 3401-position model. Lineage: Eukaryota; Fungi; Ascomycota; Dothideomycetes; Pleosporales; Phaeosphaeriaceae. The record is from RNAcentral.
UUUGKUACCCSSGCKACUUAAGCAUAUCAAUAAGCGGAGGAAAAGAAACCAACAGGGAUUGCCCCAGUAACGGCGAGUGAAGCGGCAAUAGCUCAAAUUUGAAAUCUGGCUCUUUUAGGGUCCGAGUUGUAAUUUGCAGAGGGCGCUUUGGCGUUGGCAGCGGUCCAAGUUCUUUGGAACAGGACGUCACAGAGGGUGAGAAUCCCGUACGUGGUCGCUAUCCUUCGCCGUGUAAAGCCCCUUCGACGAGUCGAGUUGUUUGGGAAUGCAGCUCUAAAUGGGAGGUAAAUUUCUUCUAAAGCUAAAUACUGGCCAGAGACCGAUAGCGCACAAGUAGAGUGAUCGAAAGAUGAAAAGCACUUUGGAAAGAGAGUCAAAUAGCACGUGAAAUUGUUGAAAGGGAAGCGCUUGCAGCCAGACUUGCCUGUAGUUGCUUAUCCAGACUUUUGUCUGGUGCACUCUUCUGCGGGCAGGCCAGCAUCAGUUUGGGCGGUUAGAUAAAGGUCUCUGUCAUGUACCUCUCUUCGGGGAGGCCUUAUAGGGGAGACGACAUGUAACCAGCCUGGACUGAGGUCCGCGCAUCUGCUAGGAUGCUGGCGUAAUGGCUGUAAGCGGCCCGUCUUGAAACACGGACCAAGGAGUCUAACAUCUAUGCGAGUGUUUGGGUGUCAAGCCCAGACGCGUAAUGAAAGUGAACGGAGGUAAGAACCCUUUGGGUGCAUUAUCGACCGAUCCUGAUGUCUUCGGAAGGAUUUGAGUAAGAGCAUGGCUGUUGGGACCCGAAAGAUGGUGAACUAUGCUUGAAUAGGGUGAAGCCAGAGGAAACUCUGGUGGAGGCUCGCAGCGGUUCUGACGUGCAAAUCGAUCGUCAAAUUUGGCAUAGGGCGAAAGACUAAUCKAASUMSGAAUC